This is a small nuclear RNA of Zalophus californianus (California sea lion), 106 nucleotides long. Lineage: Eukaryota; Metazoa; Chordata; Mammalia; Carnivora; Otariidae. The record is from Ensembl.
GUGCCCACUGAGGAGAACAUAUACUAAAACUGGAAUGAUACAGAGAAGAUUAGCAUGGCUCCUGUGCACGGAUGACAUGCAAAUUCGUGAAGCGUCCAUAUUUAAA